RNAcentral lists this ribosomal RNA (464 nucleotides) under Vreelandella stevensii. Its description in RNAcentral is "partial 16S ribosomal RNA". It matches the Rfam family "Bacterial small subunit ribosomal RNA", at positions 338 to 795 of the family's 1533-position model. Lineage: Bacteria; Pseudomonadati; Pseudomonadota; Gammaproteobacteria; Oceanospirillales; Halomonadaceae. The record is from RNAcentral.
CCUACGUGCGGCAGCAGUGGGGAAUAUUGGACAAUGGGCGAAAGCCUGAUCCAGCCAUGCCGCGUGUGUGAAGAAGGCCUUCGGGUUGUAAAGCACUUUCAGUGGGGAAGAAAGCCUUGGGGCUAAUACCCUCGAGGAAGGACAUCACCCACAGAAGAAGCACCGGCUAACUCCGUGCCAGCAGCCGCGUAAUACGGAGGGUGGGAGCGUUAAUCGGUAUUACUGGGCGUAAAGCGCGCGUAGGCGGUCUGAUAAGCCGGUUGUGAAAGCCCCGGGCUCAACCUGGGAACGGCAUCCGGAACUGUCAGGCUAGAGUGCAGGAGAGGAAGGUAGAAUUCCCGGUGUAGCGGUGAAAUGCGUAGAGAUCGGGAGGAAUACCAGUGGCGAAGGCGGCCUUCUGGACUGACACUGACGCUGAGGUGCGAAAGCGUGGGUAGCAAACAGGAUUAGAUACCCGAGUAGUC